GUGCUAUAGGGCUGGAUGCACUCACCGACCUACAGGUCAGCGACCAGGAGCGGCGCCAGCCCGAGCCCGGGGACCCGCAGACGGAGCUCCCGAAAUCACCAACAUUUAGUGCCGGAAAACAAAGUCUCUGGGGCGUGAUCAGAGGCAGUGACCAAAGCAUGAGACAUCCACCUUGCUCCCCCUGCACGAGCUGUAUCCUUGCCAUCCAUUUCCUGCCGCAUGACCCCACGCAACAGACCAACAGACGCAGCCAUUCCGUCUGGGAGACACUGAUAAGAUGGACCGACUUACGCGUAGGCCCCCGAGGGAGAAGAAGUGGCAGUGGUGACAGAGGGAUUACUGAGCUAAGCCCAGCUCCUCACAGAGUAGUCUGAUAGAUGGGGUUCUGCACGCACGGGGAAGUAAGUAUCACAGGAAAGGAAACCUUUAGGGAGAUGAAAGGCACCACAGUCCUAUCAAUUAGGAGACUGGCUGGAGGUCUGGCCCUGUUCUUUAUCCAGUUUUAUCACGAACCUUGGCAGCUUAACCUCUCUGGGCUUCCACUACCUCAUUUGUAAAAGGAAAACCACAGUACCUUUUUUUUUCUGUGCAGAACCUUGAGGCCCCCAGAAUUUAAAAUCUUAUGAUUAAA
Coturnix japonica (Japanese quail) is the source of this 631-nucleotide long non-coding RNA. RefSeq lists it as uncharacterized. NCBI's taxonomy places the organism in Eukaryota, Metazoa, Chordata, Aves, Galliformes, Phasianidae. The record is from RefSeq and is a predicted model, not a curated record.